ACCUUCGGUUUGCGUAACGAGUGCAUCAACCCACAUAUUAAUAGCGUAGGCGUUUUAUUAACUGUGCAAUAUUUUCAACACUUCCUUGCAUGCCAUUUCAUGUGGCAUAUCUUCUCUGGUCACAAAUUUGUGCAACGAAUCUACUUGCAUGAUCGACUCCGGGCCUGUGGGACCGUUCACUUGCACUUGAUGCUGAGUCUUUUACAUGUAUCCAUAAACUGCAGAUAUGCACAUCGGAUCCCUGCGAGCAUUUUCCAAAUUCAAUUAUUUUAGACAACAGGCACAUAUGCAAUACUAACCUAAUCUCAAAUACCACUAAGCAGCUGGGACACAUCUUUGUUGACCAUACUCGCAGGUAAAAUAAGUAGAUCACGUGGACCGCUCCAGCUCAUUUUCCUUAAAUCAAUGUGUACAAGGGGUAUGCAAAAAUAAUUUUUUUUUCUCGCGCACCGAUUAUUUUGCUGUAUAAGCAAGAGAACCCACCACGUUAGUGUAACGUAUCUUGUACAUCACACUAAUAUGUGCUUUAAUUUACCAAGUCAGAUGAGUUACCUUUAUGGCUCAUUCAGUCAAAUCACACUGCAAGCUGCAUUCGUCAAUCUUCAAUUGGAUUUUGCAAAUGUUUAAUGAAAUAUGUAUCCCUUUUAUGCAGAUAUGCUAUGGCAAGCCCUUCCGUAUGUUCCAAAGACAAUGCCUAUGCCUAGCCACAGCAGCUCCCUCAUACAGACUCUGCAAGCCAAGAGGCCGUGGAGGCAAAUGCAGGCAGCCAGCACACCUCGAACAGCCUCCUUGACUGUGGGUGUGUCAGUAGAUUCCUGUUGCACAUAUGCUCAUAAUAAACUUCAGUAAACUUGAAUUUGAUAAAAAACUUGAAGGCAAACGGGA
RNAcentral lists this long non-coding RNA (885 nucleotides) under Dermacentor andersoni. RNAcentral's name for it is "uncharacterized LOC126521621". The record is from RNAcentral. Lineage: Eukaryota; Metazoa; Arthropoda; Arachnida; Ixodida; Ixodidae.